Molecule: long non-coding RNA, 221 nt
Organism: Zingiber officinale
Lineage: Eukaryota; Viridiplantae; Streptophyta; Magnoliopsida; Zingiberales; Zingiberaceae
Exons: 3
Source: RefSeq, a predicted model, not a curated record
AUUUCCAGCAGCAAUCAUUUUGUGCUGGCAGCAACAGUCCUGGUGUGGAUCAACAAGCACAGCUACGAGAUAGGACUUGCUGUGGGGUUUUCUUGGUUCAACAAUUUAAUCCAGUAGUUGUUUACAUUAGAUCCAGCAGCAACUACAGUUGUGAAUUGAGGUAAGAGGACUUUGACGCGAGACGAGUAUCUCGGAGUCAGAUUUGGAUCAUUUUAUCGGAG